CUACGGGCCGCAGCAGUGAGGAAUAUUGCACAAUGGAGGAAACUCUGAUGCAGCAACGCCGCGUGGAGGAUGACGCAUUUCGGUGUGUAAACUCCUUUUAUAUGUCAAGAAAAUGACGGUAGCAUAUGAAUAAGCACCGGCUAACUCCGUGCCAGCAGCCGCGGUAAUACGGAGGGUGCAAGCGUUACUCGGAAUCACUGGGCGUAAAGGACGCGUAGGCGGGAUAUCAAGUCAGGUGUGAAAUCCUACAGCUUAACUGUAGAACUGCACUUGAAACUGGUAACCUAGAGUAUGGGAGGGGGAGAUGGAAUUAGUGGUGUAGGGGUAAAAUCCGUAGAUAUCACUAGGAAUACCUAAAGCGAAGGCGAUCUCCUGGAACAUAACUGACGCUAAGGCGUGAAAGCGUGGGGAGCAAACAGGAUUAGAUACCCCUGUAGUC
Molecule: ribosomal RNA, 439 nt
Filed under: uncultured bacterium
Lineage: Bacteria
Description: partial 16S ribosomal RNA
Rfam family: Bacterial small subunit ribosomal RNA
Source: RNAcentral